This is a long non-coding RNA of Symphalangus syndactylus (siamang), 258 nucleotides long. RefSeq lists it as uncharacterized. Lineage: Eukaryota; Metazoa; Chordata; Mammalia; Primates; Hylobatidae. The record is from RefSeq and is a predicted model, not a curated record.
GUUUCAGUUCCUUAAAGAGUAGACAUGGAUGAGGAGAGUUCUGAGAUUCCAUGAAGGGAAUGAUUCUUGCCCUAAUCAAUACAGCAUAAUGGGUCUCACUCUGUCACCCAGGAUGGAGUGCAGUGGCACAAUCUUGACUCAAUGCAGCCUCAACCUCCCGAGCUCAAGUGAUCCUCCCACCUCAGCCUCCUGAAUAGCUGGGACUAUAGGUGCACAUCACCACACCAGGCUAAUUUUUUGUAUUUUUUGUAGAGAUGG